UACGUAGGGGGCAAGCGUUGUCCGGAAUCACUGGGCGUAAAGGGCGCGUAGGCGGCCACCGCAAGUCGGUUGUGAAAUCUCUGGGCUUAACCCAGAAAGGUCAACCGAUACUGCGGGGCUAGAGUGCAGAAGGGGCAACUGGAAUUCUCGGUGUAGCGGUGAAAUGCGUAGAUAUCGAGAGGAACACCUGCGGCGAAGGCGGGUUGCUGGGCUGACACUGACGCUGAAGCGCGAAAGCUAGGGGAGCGAACGGG
This 254-nucleotide ribosomal RNA is filed under the name uncultured bacterium. RNAcentral's name for it is "partial 16S ribosomal RNA". It matches the Rfam family "Bacterial small subunit ribosomal RNA", at positions 524 to 776 of the family's 1533-position model. The record is from RNAcentral.